RNAcentral lists this long non-coding RNA (480 nucleotides) under Homo sapiens (human). Its description in RNAcentral is "HSALNT0044722". The record is from RNAcentral. Lineage: Eukaryota; Metazoa; Chordata; Mammalia; Primates; Hominidae.
UGAGAAGACUUCUCUCAAAAGAAAGUCUAGAAUUCUAUGGUUGUGAAAAGUUGUGACUGGAAAGCUUGGCAAAUAAGUCUGCUGCGAGACAAAGUCUUGCUCACCCAGGCUGGAGUGCAGUGGCAUGAUCAUAGUUCACUGCAGCCUUGAUCUCCUGGGCUCAAGUGAUUCUCCCAUCUCAGCCUCCCGGUAGUUAGGACUAUAGGCAUAAACCACCAUGCCCAGCUAAGUAAAAACAAACAAACAAAAAAACAAAACAACAACAACAACAACAACAAAAACCUUUUUGUAGAGAUUGGUCUCAAUAUAUUGCCCAGGCUAGUCUCCAAAGAUCCUCAAGCAAUAUUGCCACCUUGGCCUUCUGAAGUGCUGGAAUUACAGGCAUGAACCACCUUACCCAGCCACAAUGAAACAUUAGUUGCAAAGACGCGCAAGAAAUCUGGUGCCAUGACUUGGAUCGGGGGACCUCUCUUGGGAGAU